CCUACGGGAGGCAGCAGUGGGGAAUAUUGCACAAUGGGGGAAACCCUGAUGCAGCGACGCCGCGUGAGUUCCGCCUUUCUUCUUUCUUUUCCGCUCUUUCCGCCGUGCCGCCCCUGCCGGUCCCUGAUUAAGAAGCCCCGGCGAACUACGUGCCAGCAGCCGCGGUAAUACGCCGGGGGCACGCGUUAUCCGGAUUUACUGGGUGUACCGGGAGCGUAGCAGGCAGCCAAAGUCUGGAGUGAACUGCCGGGGCUUAACCCCGGAACGGCUUUGGACACUGUGCCGCUCGAGUGCCGGAGAGGUAAGUGGAAUUCCUGGUGUAGCGGUGAAAUGCGUAGAUAUUAGGAGGAACACCAGUGGCGAAGGCGGCUUACUGGACUGUAACUGACGUUGAGGCUCGAAAGCGUGGGGAGCAAACAGGAUUAGAUACCCCAGUAGUC
Molecule: ribosomal RNA, 440 nt
Filed under: uncultured bacterium
Lineage: Bacteria
Description: partial 16S ribosomal RNA
Rfam family: Bacterial small subunit ribosomal RNA
Source: RNAcentral